CCUCUGGGCCUCUGCAUUGCUUUGUGGAUGUACUGAAGGGCUGGAGGUCAGAUAAGGUUGCAUCUGCCUAUUGCUUCAUCUCGGGGGAUUAACAGUGAAUCCAGGGCUGAUUUCUACUCUCACUGAGCUGAGGAGCAGACUCCUCAACUUUACAACCACCCGGGACAUCAGGCUUCAUGAAAGGUACUUGAAGGUAAACGUUUUCUUGUAAUUUUAACAUUGACGAUUCAUUUAGGUAAAUCAAAUGUGUUUUGAGAUUUUUAAAAUGUUUGAGAGUUAAAAAUAGGUUUUAAUUAGUUUGUUUCUGACCAUGAGAGACCUUUUAGAAACGGUUGAAUAAUCUCCCUAAUGGUGCGGGGAGGUCCAUUCACUGUGUGUGACUCUCAGCACCUCUUUGAGUGGCUAUGGCGAUAAGGCUUGGCGUUGUUGUGACAUUCACAGGUUACAAAAGGAAAGAGUAACGAUCCAAUGAUCACGUUGCAGACUAGGUCGAGGGUGAUCUGGCUCAUUUGCUUCUCAUCAUAGAUGACUUGCCGCUAUUGAAACUAUAGGAACAUGUUCAGGUUCUGAAAGAGUAAUUCUGUUGGGAGCAAAGGAAAUGAGCAACUAAUGUACCAACAGUGACAAUUAUGUGACAUUUGCCAUGGUCACUGAAAUAAUUUAAUCAAUGUUAAUGCCUAUUGCAUUUAUAGGAGGCAGGAUAUUUGUAGAUCAAAGCUGUGAUAAUCUGUCAUUCUUGAAACGCUACUAAACUACCAGAGUAGCUGGAAUCUAAGAUCUUGCUGCCACUAAUACCCAAACACAUUUUUAUUUUGCCUUUUUUUAACAGGCAUAAUAAAUUUUUCCAGUGAACCCAGUGGGUUUAAAGGGAAGCUGGAAGUGGACAACCUCUUUGGACUGCACCUCCAACUGCAAAGCUCCCCAUGAUCCUGACCAUUGGUGUUCUGGGCUCUCUCUGCCUCUGCACCCCACCUCGACUGCACUCCUGAUCCUUGGUCCUAGCCUUACAUCCAGCACAUGCCUGGACUGCUCGCUUACACUCUGAAUUAACAAUAGCAGAUUGCAGGACAUUCCUGGGCACCAUGGACAUCUGUGGGAAAGGCUGAAAGCUUUGUUGAGAGACGCUGAAGUUGGGCAAGAGCUACAGAGAGGAAACAGACACUUCAGCUCACUGAGUCUGCACCGACCAGAGACCCCUUACACUGGCACCAUCCUACACACUAGGGACAAUUUACAAUUUUCUUUUACCAAAGCCAGUGAAUCUACAAACUUGUAUGUCUUUGGAAUGUGGGAGGAAACCGGAGCACCCAGAGUAAAUCCACGCGGUCACAGGGAGAUCGUACAAACUCCUUACAGACAGCACCCGUAAUCAGGAUCAAACCUGUGUCUCUGGCGCUGUGAGGCAGCAACUCUACCAUUGUGUUACUCUGCCUUGACCAUGAAUCCUGGUUGCUGUCUUAGCUGAUACCAGUGUUAUAUACUUCCAGUAAUUUUUUAAUACAACCCGUCAUUAAAUCUUAGUACGACAAGCAGUGAUUUCUCAUAGCUCGCUUUAUAUCAAAUAAUUUGCGAUGCCCCUGUGUAAAUAUCAGCUACAGUAAGUCCAGAAGCAUAAUCAUUUUGAAAAAGGUGAAAUCCUUAUAAGUAAUGCAUUACAAUUCUAUAAUUUACUAACAAGAUGGGUGUUAAUGAGGAGAUUUUAUAUAGAUUGUAUUGUUCUAUGGAAGGGUUCAGCACAAGUAGCAAGGUAUAGGGAGAAUUUUAUUUGUAGCACGGAUAGAUGAUAUUCAUGGACCUUUUCGGUUCAGUCAAAAAUGGUAUUGGUUUUGUCUCCAGAUGCUCACACUGCUUUGUACUGGAA
Long non-coding RNA from Leucoraja erinaceus (little skate), 1861 nucleotides. RefSeq lists it as uncharacterized. The record is from RefSeq and is a predicted model, not a curated record. The transcript has 3 exons. Lineage: Eukaryota; Metazoa; Chordata; Chondrichthyes; Rajiformes; Rajidae.